Molecule: ribosomal RNA, 1345 nt
Filed under: Sphenophorus brunnipennis
Lineage: Eukaryota; Metazoa; Arthropoda; Insecta; Coleoptera; Curculionidae
Description: eukaryotic LSU rRNA
Rfam family: Eukaryotic large subunit ribosomal RNA
Source: RNAcentral
UAGGAUUCCCUUAGUAGCUGCGAGCGAACAAGGAAUAGCCCAGCACCUAAUCCCGCGGCCGCUGCCGGUUGCCGGGAACUGUGGUGUUCGGGAGGAUCCGUUAUCUCGAGAUCAUGCGACGCGUCCAAGUCCUUCUUGAACGGGGCCACAGCCCAUAGAGGGUGCCAGGCCCGUAGCGACCGUUGCUGAUACCGAGAGGAUCUAUCCUUAGAGUCGGGUUGCUUGAGAGUGCAGCCCUAAGUGGGUGGUAAACUCCAUCUAAGGCUAAAUAUGACCACGAGACCGAUAGCGAACAAGUACCGUGAGGGAAAGUUGAAAAGCACUUUGAAGAGAGAGUUCAAGAGUACGUGAAACCGUUUAGGGGUAAACCUGAGAAACCCGAAAGGUCGAAGGGAGAAAUUCAUUCGCGUUUCAUCAUGGGCGCUCGACGAUCGUGUGACGGAGACGUUCGCGUUUUCCGCAUCUUUCGUUGUGUUCGAUCCCGUGACGAACGCGUGCACUUUUCUCCUGGUAGGACGUCGCGAUCCGUUGGGUGUCGGUCUAAGGAUUGACGGUGGAGCCCGCGAGCACGGCCUCGUGUCGUCGUUCGCGGACCUGUUUUUCCCGGCCGACUCGCUCGACGGUAUACGAAAGGUUUAAGGCCGCUCACUCUACGAGCGUUCGACCCACGACAAGCGCGCUAGUAGCCGUUGGCUAUCGGACCUAGUGCCGGUACCGACCUCUGGUGACUGUUGGUCGUGGUGUUCUCGAACCGACCUUUUUCGAAACCGAUCUGCGACGCUAUAGCUUUGGGUACUUUCAGGACCCGUCUUGAAACACGGACCAAGGAGUCUAGCAUGUGCGCGAGUCAUUGGGAAUUAUUAAACCUAAAGGCGUAAUGAAAGUAAAGGUUCGUCUCGCACGAACCGAGGGAAGAUGGGCGAUUUACCCUUAAAAGUGGUCGCUCCGCAUUCCCGGGGCGUCUCGUUCUCAUCGCGAGAAGAGGCGCACCAAGAGCGUACACGCUGGGACCCGAAAGAUGGUGAACUAUGCCUGGUCAGGACGAAGUCAGGGGAAACCCUGAUGGAGGUCCGUAGCGAUUCUGACGUGCAAAUCGAUCGUCGGAACUGGGUAUAGGGGCGAAAGACUAAUCGAACCAUCUAGUAGCUGGUUCCCUCCGAAGUUUCCCUCAGGAUAGCUGGCGCUCGUUGCGUACGAGUCUCAUCCGGUAAAGCGAAUGAUUAGAGGCAUUGGGGUCGAAACGACCUCAACCUAUUCUCAAACUUUAAAUGGGUGAGAUCUCCGGCUUGCUUGAUGUUUUGAAGCCGCGAGAUUUCGGAUCAGAGUGCCAAGUGGGCCAUUUUUG